Long non-coding RNA from Hordeum vulgare subsp. vulgare (domesticated barley), 704 nucleotides. RefSeq lists it as uncharacterized. The transcript has 2 exons. The record is from RefSeq and is a predicted model, not a curated record. NCBI's taxonomy places the organism in Eukaryota, Viridiplantae, Streptophyta, Magnoliopsida, Poales, Poaceae.
CGCUGCAUGUGGCUGUGGAGGCAGCUCCACGGUUCCUACAAGGGGUAUAUGACCCCGUCCCCAUCCUCUCUGUCCAAUGCCCCAUCAGGAUUUCUAUAAGCGCCAGUAGGCGGAGAUGUGACGAUCAUGUGGGAGGGAGUGUGGUCUCUCCCGUUUGGCCAUCCAUCUCACUGCUAUAUAAGAGCUGCACACUUAAUUAUCUGGCCACAACCAAGUAUCAGUCGAGUAGAAGCAGAGCAGAACCUUACCACCCUCCUGUUCAUUCAGGCGCCCUAUCACAUAGCUCAGGAUGGACAAGGUGAAGAGCCAUGGCAGCAAGCACCAGGGAGGAUCAGGAUCAGGAUCUGGAGGGCUGAGCAGGAUGCUGAGGCAGCACAAGGCCAGGCUCUACAUCAUCCGCCGAUGCGUCGUCAUGCUCAUCUGCUCUUGAUCUGAUUCUUCUUUCUAGCUUAGGCUUGACAGAUUCUUUGGUGUGCAAGUACAUACUACGCCAUAACAUAGGGUAGUUUAGAGGUUCAAAUGGAUGUUGCUGGCCAUUAGUUUGGAUGGAAGUUUCUCUGCGGUAUGGUGCUCCUAAGUCCUGCAAUGGCAAGGAUGUGCAAGUACCAAUUUGUCGUGUAUCGGAGUGUUGUAUGUUUGCUCUAUCAUCACAAGUGAAUGAGAUCUCGAGGAAAAAAAGAGGUUACCCACGGCAUUUCAUUUUA